RNAcentral lists this ribosomal RNA (427 nucleotides) under uncultured beta proteobacterium. RNAcentral's name for it is "bacterial SSU rRNA". It matches the Rfam family "Bacterial small subunit ribosomal RNA", at positions 355 to 774 of the family's 1533-position model. Lineage: Bacteria; Pseudomonadati; Pseudomonadota; Betaproteobacteria. The record is from RNAcentral.
UGGGGAAUUUUGGACAAUGGGCGAAAGCCUGAUCCAGCCAUGCCGCGUGAGUGAAGAAGGCCUUCGGGUUGUAAAGCUCUUUUAGUCGGAAAGAAAGAGUUGCAAUGAAUAACUGUGAUUUAUGACGGUACCGACAGAAAAAGCACCGGCUAACUCCGUGCCAGCAGCCGCGGUAAUACGUAGGGUGCGAGCGUUAAUCGGAAUUACUGGGCGUAAAGGGUGCGCAGGCGGUCUUGCAAGUCAGAUGUGAAAGCCCCGGGCUUAACCUGGGAAUGGCGUUUGAAACUACAAGACUAGAGUGCAGCAGAGGGGAGUGGAAUUCCAUGUGUAGCAGUGAAAUGCGUAGAGAUGUGGAAGAACACCGAUGGCGAAGGCAGCUCCCUGGGUUGACACUGACGCUCACGCACGAAAGCGUGGGGAGCAAACA